Molecule: ribosomal RNA, 429 nt
Filed under: Chloroflexota bacterium
Lineage: Bacteria; Bacillati; Chloroflexota
Description: Chloroflexi bacterium partial 16S ribosomal RNA
Rfam family: Bacterial small subunit ribosomal RNA
Source: RNAcentral
UGGGGAAUAUUGCACAAUGGGCGCAAGCCUGAUGCAGCCAUGCCGCGUGUGUGAAGAAGGCCUUCGGGUUGUAAAGCACUUUCAGCGGGGAGGAAGGCGUUAAGGUUAAUAACCUUGGCGAUUGACGUUACCCGCAGAAGAAGCACCGGCUAACUCCGUGCCAGCAGCCGCGGUAAUACGGAGGGUGCAAGCGUUAAUCGGAAUUACUGGGCGUAAAGCGCACGCAGGCGGUCUGUCAAGUCGGAUGUGAAAUCCCCGGGCUCAACCUGGGAACUGCAUUCGAAACUGGCAGGCUAGAGUCUUGUAGAGGGGGGUAGAAUUCCAGGUGUAGCGGUGAAAUGCGUAGAGAUCUGGAGGAAUACCGGUGGCGAAGGCGGCCCCCUGGACAAAGACUGACGCUCAGGUGCGAAAGCGUGGAGAGCAAACAGG